AGCGAACGCUGGCGGCAGGCCUAACACAUGCAAGUCGAACGAACUCUUCGGAGUUAGUGGCGGACGGGUGAGUAACACGUGGGAACGUGCCUUUUGGUUCGGAAUAACUCAGGGAAACUUGUGCUAAUACCGAAUGUGCCCUUCGGGGGAAAGAUUUAUCGCCAUUAGAGCGGCCCGCGUCUGAUUAGCUAGUUGGUGAGGUAACGGCUCACCAAGGCGACGAUCAGUAGCUGGUCUGAGAGGAUGACCAGCCACACUGGGACUGAGACACGGCCCAGACGCCUACGGGAGGCAGCAGUGGGGAAUCUUGCGCAAUGGGCGAAAGCCUGACGCAGCCAUGCCGCGUGAAUGAUGAAGGUCUUAGGAUUGUAAAAUUCUUUCACCGGGGACGAUAAGGACGGUACCCGGAGAAGAAGCCCCGGCUAACUUCGU
This 432-nucleotide ribosomal RNA is filed under the name uncultured bacterium. RNAcentral's name for it is "partial 16S ribosomal RNA". It matches the Rfam family "Bacterial small subunit ribosomal RNA", at positions 29 to 506 of the family's 1533-position model. The record is from RNAcentral.